AGGAAAAGUUACAGGCACAUCGUCAUAUUCUAACAAAUAGUGCCAUAGUUGACCCAUUUCUUCAGGAAUUUAGAGACACUAUACGAAGACAAUUGAGAAAUCGGAGUCGACAAUCAUCUUUGAUAGACAAGAGAGUUCAUAGGGAAUUUGUAGAUUGGUUUUCACGUCGUAUAAGGAAUGACUCAACUAGCCUUCACUCAACUGAUUUCAAAUUCUUAGCCAUGGGUCCAAUUGAUAUUGCAAAGCGAUAUAGUGCCUACAAUGUUAACGGAUUCAA
This is a long non-coding RNA of Vigna radiata var. radiata (mung bean), 277 nucleotides long. RefSeq lists it as uncharacterized. Lineage: Eukaryota; Viridiplantae; Streptophyta; Magnoliopsida; Fabales; Fabaceae. The record is from RefSeq and is a predicted model, not a curated record. The transcript has 3 exons.